Molecule: ribosomal RNA, 742 nt
Filed under: uncultured Streptococcus sp.
Lineage: Bacteria; Bacillati; Bacillota; Bacilli; Lactobacillales; Streptococcaceae
Description: bacterial SSU rRNA
Rfam family: Bacterial small subunit ribosomal RNA
Source: RNAcentral
CGUAGGUAACCUGCCUUGUAGCGGGGGAUAACUAUUGGAAACGAUAGCUAAUACCGCAUAACAAUGGAUGACCCAUGUCAUUUAUUUGAAAGGGGCAAAUGCUCCACUACAAGAUGGACCUGCGUUGUAUUAGCUAGUAGGUGAGGUAACGGCUCACCUAGGCGACGAUACAUAGCCGACCUGAGAGGGUGAUCGGCCAUACUGGGACUGAGACACGGCCCAGACUCCUACGGGAGGCAGCCGUUGGGAAUCUUCGGCAAUGGGGGCAACCCUGACCGAGCAACGCCGCGUGAGUNAAGAAGGUUUUCGGAUCGUAAAGCUCUGUUGUUAGUCAAGAACGAGUUUUANANUGGAAAGUCACACUGUGACGGUAGCUUACCAGAAAGGGACGGCUAACUACGUGCCANCCGCCGCGGUAAUACGUAGGUCCCGAGCGUUGUCCGAAUUUAUUGGGCGUAAAGCGAGCGCAGGCGGUUUGAUAAGUCUGAAGUUAAAGGCUGUGGCUCAACCAUAGUUCGCUUUGGAAACUGUCAAACUUGAGUGCAGAAGGGGAGAGUGGAAUUCCAUGUGUAGCGGUGAAAUGCGUAGAUAUAUGGAGGAACACCGGUGGCGAAAGCGGCUCUCUGGUCUGUAACUGACGCUGAGGCUCGAAAGCGUGGGGAGCGAACAGGAUUAGAUACCCUGGUAGUCCACGCCGUAAACGAUGAGUGCUAGGUGUUGGAUCCUUUCCGGGAUUCAGUGC